Molecule: ribosomal RNA, 744 nt
Filed under: Triticum aestivum (bread wheat)
Lineage: Eukaryota; Viridiplantae; Streptophyta; Magnoliopsida; Poales; Poaceae
Description: partial small subunit ribosomal RNA
Source: RNAcentral
AUGGAACAGCUUAGGACAUUUCUAAUCGACCACACCAUGGCAUCAUCUUCUCCAUCUUCCACCGUGAUCCAGAUGCCUCCAAGUCCACACACCAACGGCGGGACAGCCGGCCUUGCCCCGGCCACGCCUAAGGACGCCGGCGACAUCCCGACCACCGCAUCCGCAACAGCUGCCGGGCCAGCAGCCAGCGCGACGGACAAGGUCAUGUCGAGCGCCGCGAACCUGGCGCAGCUGCUGCCGACGGGCACGGUGCUGGCGUACCAGGCGCUGUCCCCGUCCUUCACCAACCACGGCAAGUGCUUCUCCUCCAACCAGUGGCUCACCGCGGCGCUGGUCCUCGUCCUCACCAUCUCAUGCGUCCUCUUCUCCUUCACCGACAGCGUCCUCGGCCGCGACCAGAAGCUCUACUAUGGCAUCGCCACGCCACGUGGUUUCAACGUCUUCAACUUCUCGGACGAAGAGGAGAAGCUGCAGUGGACUCCCGCUGAGUUCCGGAGGCUUCGCAUCCGGCCGCUGGACUUCAUGCGCGCCGUCUUCACGGCCCUGGUGUUCCUCACCGUGGCUCUCAGCGACGUGGGGCUGCAGAACUGCUUCUUCCCCAACGCUGGCAUGAACACCCAGGAGCUUCUCAAGAACCUGCCAUUGGGCAUCGCGUUUCUGUCCAGUUUUGUGUUCAUGAUCUUCCCCACAAAAAGGAAGGGCAUCGGCUACAGCGACACUACUCCUCGCCAAAAGCUCACUUGA